AUGCAAGAUUAGGUCAGCCUGGACCUGGACGGCUUCUCGCUCGACCACGGGUUUCCGGAGGACUACGACCUCGAGGAAGAGGAUGAGUUGGACAUCGAUGGGGAGCCUUUGUUUGAGGACGAGCUCGCCAACCAAGCCACCGGCGCGAAGCCAAAGCGCAAGAGAAAGCGGACGACGGCAUACAGGGCGCCCGAGGACAAGCUCCUUUGUAAGUGUUGGAGGGACAUUGGGCAAGACCCCAAGGUCGGUGUCAAACAAAAGACAUCAACCUUUUGGAUUCGCGUCCACCAUCAGUUCCAUGAAUGCAAGAAGUUUGCGUCAUACCAAAUGCAUAGCACACGCGGGUGGGUGUCCAUUUAAAAGCGAUUGGGGUGA
Molecule: ribosomal RNA, 375 nt
Filed under: Triticum aestivum (bread wheat)
Lineage: Eukaryota; Viridiplantae; Streptophyta; Magnoliopsida; Poales; Poaceae
Description: partial small subunit ribosomal RNA
Source: RNAcentral